This 274-nucleotide ribosomal RNA is filed under the name uncultured bacterium. RNAcentral describes it as "partial 16S ribosomal RNA". It matches the Rfam family "Bacterial small subunit ribosomal RNA", at positions 523 to 796 of the family's 1533-position model. The record is from RNAcentral.
AUACGGAGGGUGCAAGCGUUAAUCGGAAUUACUGGGCGCAAAGCGCGCGUAGGCGGAUAUUUAAGUCUCAUGUGAAAGCCCUGGGCUCAACCUGGGAACUGCAUGGGAUACUGGGUAUCUAGAAUACAGUAGAGGGUAGUGGAAUUUCAGGUGUAGCGGUGAAAUGCGUAGAGAUCUGAAGGAACAUCAGUGGCGAAGGCGACUACCUGGACUGAUAUUGACGCUGAGGUGCGAAAGCGUGGGGAGCAAACGGGAUUAGAAACCCCAGUAGUCC